GACGAACGCUGGCGGCGUGCUUAACACAUGCAAGUCGAACGGAAAGGCUCCAGCUUGCUGGAGUACUCGAGUGGCGAACGGGUGAGUAACACGUGGGUAAUCUGCCCUGCACUCUGGGAUAAGCCUGGGAAACUGGGUCUAAUACUGGAUAUGACCUUUCUCCUUAUGGGGUUUGGUGGAAAGUUUUUCGGUGUAGGAUGAGCCCGCGGCCUAUCAGCUUGUUGGUGGGGUGAUGGCCUACCAAGGCGACGACGGGUAGCCGGCCUGAGAGGGUGAUCGGCCACAUUGGGACUGAGAUACGGCCCAGACUCCUACGGGAGGCAGCAGUGGGGAAUAUUGCACAAUGGGCGGAAGCCUGAUGCAGCGACGCCGCGUGAGGGAUGACGGCCUUCGGGUUGUAAACCUCUUUCAGCAGGGACGAAGCGUAAGUGACGGUACCUGCAGAAGAAGCACCGGCUAACUACG
Molecule: ribosomal RNA, 465 nt
Filed under: uncultured Corynebacterium sp.
Lineage: Bacteria; Bacillati; Actinomycetota; Actinomycetes; Mycobacteriales; Corynebacteriaceae
Description: bacterial SSU rRNA
Rfam family: Bacterial small subunit ribosomal RNA
Source: RNAcentral